RNAcentral lists this ribosomal RNA (484 nucleotides) under uncultured bacterium. RNAcentral's name for it is "partial 16S ribosomal RNA". It matches the Rfam family "Bacterial small subunit ribosomal RNA", at positions 30 to 507 of the family's 1533-position model. The record is from RNAcentral.
AUUGAACGCUGGCGGCAUGCCUUACACAUGCAAGUCGAACGGCAGCGCGGGAGCAAUCCUGGCGGCGAGUGGCGAACGGGUGAGUAAUACAUCGGAACGUGCCCAAUCGUGGGGGAUAACGCAGCGAAAGCUGUGCUAAUACCGCAUACGAUCUACGGAUGAAAGCAGGGGAUCGCAAGACCUUGCGCGAAUGGAGCGGCCGAUGGCAGAUUAGGUAGUUGGUGAGGUAAAGGCUCACCAAGCCUUCGAUCUGUAGCUGGUCUGAGAGGACGACCAGCCACACUGGGACUGAGACACGGCCCAGACUCCUACGGGAGGUAGCAGUGGGGAAUUUUGGACAAUGGGCGAAAGCCUGAUCCAGCCAUGCCGCGUGCAGGAUGAAGGCCUUCGAGUUGUAAACUGCUUUUGUACGGAACGAAACGGUCUUUUCUAAUAAAGAAGGCUAAUGACGGUACCGUAAGAAUAAGCACCGGCUAACUACGUG